GACGAACGCUGGCGGCGUGCUUAACACAUGCAAGUCGAACGGAAAGGCCCCUUUGGGGGUACUCGAGUGGCGAACGGGGGAGUAACACUUGAGUAACCUGCCCUUUACUUCGGGAUAACUUCAGGAAACUGGGGCUAAUACCGGAUAGGAAUCCUUGCUGCAUGGUGGGGGUUGGAAAGCUUCUGCGGUUUUGCGUGGACUCGCGGCUUAUCAGCUGGUUGGUGGGGUAGUGGCUUACCAAGGCUUUGACGGGUAGACGGACAGAGGGAGCGACAGGCCACAGUGGGACUGAGAUAAGGCCGCGACGCCUAAGGGAGGACGAAGUGGGGAAUAUUGCACCAUGGGCGGCAGCCUGAUGAAGAAACGCCGCGUGCGGGAUGACGGCCUUCGGGUUGUAAACAGCUUUCAGCAGGGGCGAAGCUUGUGGUGACGUUACCUGCAGAAGAAGCACCGGCUAACUACGUG
This 465-nucleotide ribosomal RNA is filed under the name uncultured bacterium. Its description in RNAcentral is "partial 16S ribosomal RNA". It matches the Rfam family "Bacterial small subunit ribosomal RNA", at positions 28 to 507 of the family's 1533-position model. The record is from RNAcentral.